Molecule: ribosomal RNA, 496 nt
Filed under: uncultured bacterium
Lineage: Bacteria
Description: partial 16S ribosomal RNA
Rfam family: Bacterial small subunit ribosomal RNA
Source: RNAcentral
AUGAACGCUGGCGGCGUGCCUAAUACAUGCAAGUCGAGCGAACAGACGAGGAGCUUGCUCCUCUGACGUUAGCGGCGGACGGGUGAGUAACACGUGGAUAACCUACCUAUAAGACUGGGAUAACUUCGGGAAACCGGAGCUAAUACCGGAUAAUAUAUUGAACCGCAUGGUUCAAUAGUGAAAGACGGUUUUGCUGUCACUUAUAGUUGGAUCCGCGCCGCAUUAGCUAGUUGGUAAGGUAACGGCUUACCAAGGCAACGAUGCGUAGCCGACCUGAGAGGGUGAUCGGCCACACUGGAACUGAGACACGGUCCAGACUCCUACGGGAGGCAGCAGUAGGGAAUCUUCCGCAAUGGGCGAAAGCCUGACGGAGCAACGCCGCGUGAGUGAUGAAGGUCUUCGGAUCGUAAAACUCUGUUAUUAGGGAAGAACAAAUGUGUAAGUAACUAUGCACGUCUUGACGGUACCUAAUCAGAAAGCCACGGCUAACUACGUG